Molecule: non-coding RNA, 111 nt
Organism: Acanthosepion pharaonis
Lineage: Eukaryota; Metazoa; Mollusca; Cephalopoda; Sepiida; Sepiidae
Source: the annotation of a GenBank genome assembly
UUACGGCCAUAUCAUGUUAAAACACCAGUUCUCAUUCAAUCACCAAAGUUAAGCAAUGCCGAUCCUGGUCAGUAACUAGAUGAGUGACCACUUGGGAAUAUCAGGGGCUAU